AGGUGAAAUUUGGUUACUCAGGUGUAAUUAGGUGUGGUGUAAAAUUAUUUUGAAGCUAUUAAGUUUUAGGUAUAAAACAGGAUUAGAUACCCUGCUAUACUUUAAUUAAAGUUAGUGGUUUGAGUAGUAAACAGUUAUAUUCUUUAAACUUAAAGAAUUUGGCGGUAUUUUAGUCCUGUUAGAGGAACCUGUUCCGUAAACGAUAUUCCCCGAAUAAUCUUACUUUUCUUUGUAGUCCAGUUUGUAUACCGCCAUUAUUAGAUAGUUUUAUAAAGAUCUGUUUUAAUAGUUUGAAUUAAUAUAUUAGGUCAAGGUGCAGCUUAUAGGAGAGCAGGUAAUGGGUUACAUUAUAAUAUGUUAAAACGAAUAAAUAGAGAGAUCUUUAUUUAGAAGGUGGAUUUAAUAGUAAGGUUGUUUUAAUAUGGCAUUCUGAUAUCGGCUCUAAAAUAUGUA
RNAcentral lists this ribosomal RNA (453 nucleotides) under Pandalus hypsinotus. RNAcentral describes it as "12S ribosomal RNA". Lineage: Eukaryota; Metazoa; Arthropoda; Malacostraca; Decapoda; Pandalidae. The record is from RNAcentral.